Molecule: transfer RNA, 90 nt
Filed under: compost metagenome
Description: tRNA-Ser
Rfam family: tRNA
About the family: Transfer RNA (tRNA) molecules are approximately 80 nucleotides in length. Their secondary structure includes four short double-helical elements and three loops (D, anti-codon, and T loops).
Source: RNAcentral
GGAAGGAUGGCAGAGUGGUUGAAUGCACCGGUCUUGAAAACCGGCAACGGGGCAACUCUUUCCUGAGUUCGAAUCUCAGUCCUUCCGCCA